Molecule: long non-coding RNA, 909 nt
Organism: Culex quinquefasciatus (southern house mosquito)
Lineage: Eukaryota; Metazoa; Arthropoda; Insecta; Diptera; Culicidae
Exons: 2
Source: RefSeq, a predicted model, not a curated record
ACAUUUAAACAUUUAAACAUUUAAACAUUUAAACAUUUAAACAAUUCAACAUUUCAACAUUUUUACUCAAAAUUAAAAAAAAACACAAGGAACAAGGAUCACAAAACGAACGCACCAUGAUUCUGAAUCUAUGUGCAGCCGACGCUCAUGAAACGAACGCACCAUGAUUGAAGCGAGCUGUCAUUUUUUUCACUCGCGCGUGCUUGCAGCAUGUUCUUUCGUUGUGUUCGAUUCGUUUUUCCGCGUGUAAUUGGGGAUUUUCUACAUCCGGCGACUUCAAAGACUUAAGAACCGGCACCGGCUGUGGGAAUUCCAGAUCGCUGUCGGCGUUCCGUUCCUGGUGUUUGUUAGGGAUGUGCAGACGCACUGGACUCAAACUGCCGGCAGUGCAACGAGGGUUAGGCGAUACCAUAGCGCAACGACGUGCAACAAGUGAAAUCUCUCGCUGAAGAAGCACUUCGAACCGGCCGUACUUCUGGAGACAAAUAGCUAUACGUAAGUUGUGUCGGAUGGAGAAAGUGUAGAUUGUUUUUAAUUGAGUGUUUAUAAUUUCAGAAUUGAGGACAUCACCGAAUUGACCCGAUGUUUCCAGACGACAGGAACGACAAACACAAACUGCUGGGCAGUUAGGAAUCUACGGAUGGAGUGCAAUGUCCCGAGGACCCGAGGAGGAACGUGUACCGAUUACAUCGAUCGGUGUAAUCGAUGACGAGAUUGAACCGGAAUUACCAAAGAAAACGACGCGAAAAGAAAGUGCAAAAUUAAGUGAAAUUAAAGAGUAAUUUAAAAAAAACUCACUAAUUACUAUCAAAAGAAGUGUAUUUAGGAUUCCUUUUACUGUGUGUAAAUAGUUUUAGCAGCAUCAUUUAGUGAGGAAUAAAAAAUAAACAGUAUAAAAAACAAUAAAAA